GCCUCGGUGGCUCUGAGGCGAGAGCGCCGGCCUACGGAUCCCCUAGGUGGCGGGUUCGAAUCCCGACCGAGGUG
RNAcentral lists this transfer RNA (74 nucleotides) under Ixodes scapularis (black-legged tick). It matches the Rfam family "tRNA". Rfam says of the family: Transfer RNA (tRNA) molecules are approximately 80 nucleotides in length. Their secondary structure includes four short double-helical elements and three loops (D, anti-codon, and T loops). The record is from Rfam by way of RNAcentral. Lineage: Eukaryota; Metazoa; Arthropoda; Arachnida; Ixodida; Ixodidae.